This 253-nucleotide ribosomal RNA is filed under the name uncultured bacterium. RNAcentral's name for it is "partial 16S ribosomal RNA". It matches the Rfam family "Bacterial small subunit ribosomal RNA", at positions 524 to 776 of the family's 1533-position model. The record is from RNAcentral.
UACAGAGGGUGCAAGCGUUGUUCGGAAUUAUUGGGCGUAAAGCGUGCGUAGGUGGUUUUUUAAGUCCGUUGUGAAAGCCCUGGGCUCAACCUGGGAAUGGCAGUGGAUACUGGAAAGCUAGAGAGCGGUAGAGGGUAGUGGAACUCCCGGUGUAGCAGUGAAAUGCGUAGAGAUCGGGAGGAACACCAGUGGCGAAGGCGGCUACCUGGACCAGCACUGACACUGAGGCACGAAAGCGUGGGGAGCAAACAGG